GACAGAGGGUGCAAACGUUGCUCGGAAUCACUGGGCGUAAAGGGCGCGUAGGCGGUCUUGCAUGUCCCGUGUGAAAUCCCUCGGCUCAACUGCGGAACUGCACGGGAAACUGCUUGGCUUGAGUUCGGGAGAGGGAAGCGGAAUUCCGGGUGUAGCGGUGAAAUGCGUAGAUAUCUGGAGGAACACCGGUGGCGAAGGCGGCAUCCUGGACCGGUAUUGACGCUGAGGAGCGAAAGCCAGGGGAGCAAACGGG
This 253-nucleotide ribosomal RNA is filed under the name uncultured bacterium. RNAcentral's name for it is "partial 16S ribosomal RNA". It matches the Rfam family "Bacterial small subunit ribosomal RNA", at positions 524 to 776 of the family's 1533-position model. The record is from RNAcentral.